GUCUACAGCUAUACCACCCUGAAUGCACCCCAUCUUGUCUGAUCUUGGAAGCUAAGCAGGGUCGGGCCUGGUUAGUACUUGGAUGGGAGAAAGGGAGAAAGGGUAACACUGUUUAAA
Dipodomys ordii (Ord's kangaroo rat) is the source of this 117-nucleotide ribosomal RNA. NCBI's taxonomy places the organism in Eukaryota, Metazoa, Chordata, Mammalia, Rodentia, Heteromyidae. The record is from Ensembl.